RNAcentral lists this unclassified non-coding RNA (481 nucleotides) under Holocarpha heermannii. RNAcentral's name for it is "partial external transcribed spacer". The record is from RNAcentral. Lineage: Eukaryota; Viridiplantae; Streptophyta; Magnoliopsida; Asterales; Asteraceae.
AUCUGUCAUGGCUUAAUUGUCAUGGUGGAUCGUGGGUUUCCUGUGUUGCCUACCUAAGUAAUGGUAUUGCCCCUGCUUGAUCCUAGUCCCUUUCAUUCCGUUGCCAUACCUUUGACACCGGAUGAACCAUGAAGUGGUUUCUUUGAUCCACCUUGUCAACGAAUGUGUUGAUUUUGUGGCUCAUUGAGCAUCGCUUGGUCUCCUGGAUACAGAACAUGAUUUGAGCAUAUGGGGUCUCAUGGGUUCCUUGUUCUGCUUUCUUUCAGGUUGUGUGCUUCUCUUAAAAUGACUGCCCCGCUCGCCUAGGCACGUACCUGCGAGGAGGCCAUGAUUUUGGGAAAUGCUUUUCCUGUUUGUUGCGGGCAUGGUGUCUCCGGUUAUCCUUGUUUUGCUCUCGCUCAGCGUUCGCGCUUCUCUUUAAAUGACUGUCUCGCUCGCCUAGGCUCGUACCUGCGUGCGAGGCCAUGUCAAAGAGGAUUGC